This 321-nucleotide ribosomal RNA is filed under the name Coprinopsis strossmayeri. Its description in RNAcentral is "LSU rRNA". It matches the Rfam family "Eukaryotic large subunit ribosomal RNA", at positions 1 to 309 of the family's 3401-position model. Lineage: Eukaryota; Fungi; Basidiomycota; Agaricomycetes; Agaricales; Psathyrellaceae. The record is from RNAcentral.
AUUUUGACCUCAAAUCAGGUAAGACUACCCGCUGAACUUAAGCAUAUCAAUAAGCGGAGGAAAAGAAACUAACAAGGAUUCCCCUAGUAACUGCGAGUGAAGCGGGAAAAGCUCAAAUUUAAAAUCUGGCGGCCUUUUGGCUGUCCGAGUUGUAAUCUAGAGAAGUGUUACCCGCGUCGGACCGUGUAUAAGUCUCCUGGAAUGGAGCGUCAUAGAGGGUGAGAAUCCCGUCUUUGACACGGACUACCGAGGCUUUUGUGGUGCGCUCUCAACGAGUCGAGUUGUUUGGGAAUGCAGCUCAAAAUGGGUGGUAAAUUCCAU